ACGGCCACCUAUUUCAUCUCCACCGCCGUGCACCGGCUGCAGGACCACCACAGCCACCACGGCAGUGUCACCACGGCAGUGUCACCACGGCAGGGGACUCUGUCUAACCCUCCUGAAAACGACAGCUGCUGCACAGCCCUUUUUGGGAGAGCAGCUCUGACAAGGACAAGAAGAAUUGCACACACUCAUACAGGGCAAAAGAUGCUGGUCCGUGUGGAAGUAUCCCAUGAACUGAAUGUGGUGGUGGAGUCCCCAUCUGGAUCACACCAACCCACGUUCAAAUUAGCACACCAAUUUAGAUGCAAAUGAGCACUCUAAGCUGCAGUUACACCUCUGGUAUUAACAGAGACGCUUCUGUGUGGGUGAACAUUUUAUUUCCCGUGAGGAACCUUUCCUGCAGUUACUGUCAGGUUUUUGUUAUACAUCAGGCUUGUUAUGCCAUCAGUGCAGACAGCACAUUGAACUGUGCUGGUAUGCAAGCUAUCAUCUCAGACCCAAGUGGGCUAACAUUUAAAUAGCGUGUGACACUGCUGCCAUCAAAUUUCUCCCAAGGCAUGCUUGCCUGAUCUCCCUGGGAUUGCACAGAGGCAGGGAGCAAAGCAGCCUUGGGGACGUGGGCUGCAGGACUGAUGUCAGGGGUCCCUUCCCUGUCCUACCGGACGGCACCGGAGCUACAAACCACAGCCAAAGCUGGGCAGGUGGCUCAGUGGCAGAUCCAGCUGCAGCACUGUGCAGAGCUUGGCAGAAAGGUCAGCACUGGCCCUUCUGGAUAUGGCCAGGUAUUUUUCAGACACCUGUUGCUGAGGAGGAAACUUCCUGCAGGAAAAUUUGCCAACUCCCAUAUGCAAAGCAAUUGAAGGAUGGAUUGAAAAAAGUCCUUGGUAGUGAAAGUCAGGGCACUGACUUGAUAUGAGUGGGGAAGUUGGGUCUCUUACAGGACAUCUGGCAUGAAUGAGACAAGAAAAGCUUAGUUCUGGUGUUGCUAUAAACCAUGAGAGAAGAAAUGGGAGAUCUUAGCUGCCUUACCUUCAGCCGGAAGCAGACCAGUCCCAAAACAACCUCAGCACAGAUCUCAAACCUCUCAUCCUGAAGGACUAAGUGUUCAAACUGAUGCGACAGUCUAAUGUGCUGAGAAGAGAAAGAGUAUCUACAUUGAAUACAUUUGAUUCACCAAGAAAAAAGGUGUGCUGAAGUAUUUUCCAUUCCAUUGCUCUGUUCCUUCUGCUGCUGUGUGAUAAUAUUCACAUAUUGCCAUCUGUUUGUGUUAACUUCCAUCCCGUUUAUGACUUCCAGAGACCAUAUGGAGCCAUUGCUGUAUUAGGAUCUCAGUCUGUCUUAGGCAGUGCUGGUCUGCUUAUUGAGACACUUCAGCACAAUUUGAUAUAAUACCACAUUAAGAGUAAAUAAUUUUAAUAAUUCUCAUUUAGGUUUUGUACCACUGUUAGUUUUGGCUAGGAAUGGCUAAAGAAUACAGAAGUCAUUAGAGGGAAAGGGGAAGUGCACAGAUAUACAGGGAAAAAAUUGUCACAAUUUCAGUGAAAAUUGAGCUGGGAAGAUACACUUUUUAGAAUAGUUCACUUAAUAUGAGAAAUCUGUGGUGCUCAGGUUCAGUUGAAAAAAAAGCUGAUGGCAGUAUAAUCAAGAAAAUGGAGAGCAAAUCUCAGCAAACCUGUUGAGAAGUUACUGAGGCAAAAAAGGAUGACACUGGGCACCAAGCUAGAGCAAUUAUUUUGAAGCAGAUGAAACAAAUAUUUAAAAAAAUAGGAAAAAUACCUACAGACAUACUAAAAAUCAGCUGGGAAGUCUUAACAUUAGUCAGUGAUACUUGCAUACUCAUGCCAUGCUUUUCUUUGCUUUCUUUCAAAGAGAAAAAUAAUUUAAAAGCACUUUCAAAAAACCAACACAUAUCCUCAUCAGAUACCUGCAGUACCCUAUCCAGUCCCCCUUCUACUGGCUAUAUCAUUAACUUAGUGUUCACUAUUCUAGAAAAAGCCAAAAAAUACAACCAAACAACCAACCAAAAAAAGCUAAGACAACAACAGCAACCAGCCAUUUGAAUUAUAGUUUGUCUUCAUGCAAUAGCCAGUCUAUACCAAAAAUUAUCUGAAACACCUAGAAAGUAAUGUUUAAAGAUUUUUCAGCUUUUAUAUAUUUAGGAUUGCAAAUAAUUUUACAAAAAUAAACAACUAAGUCUGUGCUUUUGAACUUUGACUUUUUGUAAAUUCAAAGAUGGCUAUUAAACAAAAAUGAAACAUAUUACUUUGGGCCAAGGUUAAAUGUGGAAUGUAUCAUCCCACAGGAACUUCAUCCAAAAGGACAAGGCAAAACAGAAGCUACAGAAAAGGGAAAAAGACAGAAGAAAAAAAGCCAACACAUUUUGCAAUCUUAAUCAUAGCUUUCUGAUUUUUUUUUUUAAUUUCUCUAAAAUAGAAAAACAUAGUUUAGAUUGAAUCAAAAUAUUUCUUCAAAACCUUCAUAUUUGGCUUACUGGUACCCUAUGUAACCAGCCAGUUUUCCUGUUGUUACCACUUCUGCUCUGCUGUUUGUUACAUCCAUUUAUCAUCUCCCUCUAAAAUUAGCCUGAAAGCUCCUUGAGUCAGGAAUGAGACCAAUAAAACUUCAAUCCCUUCCAAGGCAUUUGAAUGAUCUGCUAAUACACAGAGCAUGAAUUUAUUGCUGUGAAAUCCAACCAGAAGUAUCUGCAUACAUACAGAUACUUGUAUGCAUAAUAACUGCAUGAAAAACAUAUGUAAAAUAGGCCCAGGUGUUGUAAUGGGCUUUUACUGUCUCCUCCUAUCCUCAUGUUCUAGAGCUUUAACCAAACAUGUCUUUUCCAUGGCUCCACAAAAAAGCACAAAUCAUAUUCCAUGAGGUAAGAAUUUCACAACUGUUCAGCUGAAUGUAAUCACCAGCUGAAUUUCAUCAAAAUUUAUCUGGGUAAAAAUUGAAUAAAGCAAACAUUUAAGA
Passer domesticus (house sparrow) is the source of this 2967-nucleotide long non-coding RNA. RefSeq lists it as uncharacterized. NCBI's taxonomy places the organism in Eukaryota, Metazoa, Chordata, Aves, Passeriformes, Passeridae. The transcript is spliced from 2 exons. The record is from RefSeq and is a predicted model, not a curated record.